RNAcentral lists this ribosomal RNA (468 nucleotides) under uncultured bacterium. RNAcentral's name for it is "partial 16S ribosomal RNA". It matches the Rfam family "Bacterial small subunit ribosomal RNA", at positions 28 to 507 of the family's 1533-position model. The record is from RNAcentral.
GACGAACGCUGGCGGCGUGCUUAACACAUGCAAGUCGAACGGAAAGGCCCUGCUUUUGUGGGGUGCUCGAGUGGCGAACGGGUGAGUAACACGUGAGUAACCUGCCCUUGACUUUGGGAUAACUUCAGGAAACUGGGGCUAAUACCGGAUAGGAGCUACUGCUGCAUGGUGGGGGUUGGAAAGUUUCGGCGGUUGGGGAUGGACUCGCGGCUUAUCAGCUUGUUGGUGGGGUAGUGGCUUACCAAGGCUUUGACGGGUAGCCGGCCUGAGAGGGUGACCGGCCACAUUGGGACUGAGAUACGGCCCAGACUCCUACGGGAGGCAGCAGUGGGGAAUAUUGCACAAUGGGCGGAAGCCUGAUGCAGCAACGCCGCGUGCGGGAUGACGGCCUUCGGGUUGUAAACCGCUUUCGCCUGUGACGAAGCGUGAGUGACGGUAAUGGGUAAAGAAGCACCGGCUAACUACGUG